GCAGCGGGGCUACAUGGUUAAUUUGCGCUUUCCCUACUGCUUUAGCAGAAUUGAGUGUUUUGCGUUGAGUUUGGUGGUUCUGGUUGUAGUUACAAGGAGUUUGUUCUCCAGCCGGUGGAACUGUAGGAGUAGUUCCCGUGCUGUUUUCUAUGCUGUCUGUGGGUUGUUCCUGGGAGCAGGACAUUGCUGCUGUUUUGUUUUUAUUGUUUUUGUCAUGGAUUUAACGACGACAUACCCUGGGGAUCUUCGGCAUGCUUUGGCUUGUUCAGCGCUGAUCAGAGUCAGUGUGGGGAGCAGUCCAGCAUGGACGAGCGGUAUUUGGACUGUUUUAGACCAUGGGAUCACUUGGGAUUUGUCUUCUUUUGAUCGAGUAGCAUGUUACCGGCCAAAGUUUCUUUUGGAUGUUUUGUAUUAAUUUGCUUUGUAAUUAAUGCUUUAGUUGGAUAACUGUUUCCUUGUUUUUCUGAGUUAUUCUGUUUCAUGUUGUUUUGUAUGUAAUUUCACUUUGUCAAUUGUUUUUCUUUACAUGAUUUGCCCUGAGACCAGGGUCUUUGAUGUGUAAUUUUCUGUUGCUGUAUUUCAUUGUUUUUUGGGGUUUAAAUUUAUUUGUAUGUGCCUCAGACGGUAUACAAGGUGAUGAAGGGUGAAUGUGAUCUUAAUCCUUUGUUGAAUUUAUAUUUCAGGUAUAGUGGCCUAGAGCCACCUUAGUUGAGUCUUCUUUUGCUGGUGGUGGUGGUCUUCACUUUGUGUUGUGUGCGUGGUGUAAGAUCACCUGGCGUAGGUACACUGUGGGUGAGCGUAUGUGAGCAUGAGGCCAAUUGGCCACUCAGAGAUUCAGUCUGGGGGAGUCUCUCCUGUCUCAUGAUUGGUGGAUGUUAUGCU
Long non-coding RNA from Paramormyrops kingsleyae, 882 nucleotides. RefSeq lists it as uncharacterized. NCBI's taxonomy places the organism in Eukaryota, Metazoa, Chordata, Actinopteri, Osteoglossiformes, Mormyridae. The record is from RefSeq and is a predicted model, not a curated record.